RNAcentral lists this ribosomal RNA (651 nucleotides) under uncultured Clostridium sp. Its description in RNAcentral is "bacterial SSU rRNA". It matches the Rfam family "Bacterial small subunit ribosomal RNA", at positions 76 to 738 of the family's 1533-position model. The record is from RNAcentral. Lineage: Bacteria; Bacillati; Bacillota; Clostridia; Eubacteriales; Clostridiaceae.
UCUUUCGGGAAUGGAAAUGAAAUGAAAGUGGCGAACGGGUGAGUAACACGUGAGCAACCUACCUUACACAGGGGGAUAGCCGUUGGAAACGACGAUUAAUACCGCAUGAGACCACAGAAUCGCAUGAUAUAGGGGUCAAAGAUUUAUCGGUGUAAGAAGGGCUCGCGUCUGAUUAGCUAGUUGGAAGGGUAAAGGCCUACCAAGGCGACGAUCAGUAGCCGGUCUGAGAGGAUGAACGGCCACAUUGGAACUGAGACACGGUCCAAACUCCUACGGGAGGCAGCAGUGGGGAAUAUUGCACAAUGGGGGGAACCCUGAUGCAGCGACGCCGCGUGGGCGAAGAAGGUUUUCGAAUCGUAAAGCUCUGUCCUAUGAGAAGAUAAUGACGGUAUCAUAGGAGGAAGCCCCGGCUAAAUACGUGCCAGCAGCCGCGGUAAUACGUAUGGGGCGAGCGUUGUCCGGAAUUAUUGGGCGUAAAGGGUACGUAGGCGGUUUUUUAAGUCAGGUGUGAAAGCGUGAGGCUUAACCUCAUUAAGCACUUGAAACUGGAAGACUUGAGUGAAGGAGAGGAAAGUGGAAUUCCUAGUGUAGCGGUGAAAUGCGUAGAUAUUAGGAGGAAUACCGGUGGCGAAGGCGACUUUCUGGACUUUU